GAGACAGAGAGAGAGGUGUUUUUGUUUUUUGGUGCAGAGGCUUCAAAAGGAAUUGUCGUGUGUCUGGAUAAUAACGUGAUUUUUUGACAGGGAAUCCAUAAGAAUAAGCCUCAAAACUCCUAACGAGGAAAGACAAAACAGAGCACUCAUCCCAUACUACAGUGUGUAGUAUCUACAGAAAUGAUUAUAACCUACUGCAUAUGAUUAAACAGAAUGGUCCUUUUGUGUUCAUGCCACAAGAUGGCUGCGGAGUCUACGUGAGUCUCCUGAAUAAAAGAUGCUGGCCCAGAUGGAUGUUCACCGUUGGCCUCCUGCUCUCCGGUUUUGGCAAUAAACCAGAAGAAACUACAGUAAGCACUUGAUCUGGUCAGGGUCACGGCCUAUCCCAGGAACACUAGGCAUGAGGAAGGAAUACAGCCUGGAGGGUGAGCCCAGGAUUGAACCAGGGACUCUGGAGAUGUGAGUUGGCAACACUGUGCCAACGGUGUAAUAUUUUAAAUGCAUAAAUGUGAUGUAAUAUUUUAAAUGUAGAAAUAUUUACCUUGCAGAAUAUUUGCACCAAACCCUGCCUGUGUCCUACAUGCUUUCUUGUCAUCUUUCUUGUAGCGUUACUUAUGAUCCUGGGUUUGCCUCCUACUCUGCCAGAUUUUUAAAAAUAAACAAACAGUUCCGGAAAUUCUACAGGAAUCCCUACAGGAAUAUAUAUAUAUAUAU
This is a long non-coding RNA of Ictalurus punctatus (channel catfish), 714 nucleotides long. The record is from Ensembl. NCBI's taxonomy places the organism in Eukaryota, Metazoa, Chordata, Actinopteri, Siluriformes, Ictaluridae.